GGAAAUACAGGGGGAAGAGCUGUGUGUGGGCGAGUGCCGUUUUGGAUGUGUGACUUGAGGUAGAGACGCCCAAACAGUGGAAAAUGAGAAUCUGUAACUCAGCACAGAGGCCAGAGUUUGGUAGUUACUAGCAUAUCUUCCAAACCUAUGGAGGGCUUAUCGAGACAAAUUGAAGUUUUGGACCCAUUGUGUACUAGCAA
Molecule: long non-coding RNA, 200 nt
Filed under: Homo sapiens (human)
Lineage: Eukaryota; Metazoa; Chordata; Mammalia; Primates; Hominidae
Description: HSALNT0193999
Source: RNAcentral